This 916-nucleotide long non-coding RNA is filed under the name Mytilus galloprovincialis (Mediterranean mussel). The record is from RNAcentral. Lineage: Eukaryota; Metazoa; Mollusca; Bivalvia; Mytilida; Mytilidae.
UAUAAUACAUGUAUCUCAAAAAGUUUGGUUAAUUACGAAUGGGAGUCUUUUGUCCUCAUGGAUAACAAAUGACAGCAAACAAUUGGUAAACAUUUUAAUGACGAAAGCCAAUUUUUAUGCAAGAGUAUUGGGACAUAACUCUGAAAAUUCAGCUUUAUUUUGGAAAGUACAGUAAAUGUUUUAUUAGUUUAUGUAGCAAGAAAACAAGUAGGGUUUCCCUAUGUUCUUUCUUCCAGAAGCCUUUUAUAAGAUGUGUAUUUUUAUAUUUUAUUCAAUUUAACUUGUAUAUUUAGUUUUCUCAUUUACUAUAGUAAAGCUUUCGCCAUUUACCAUUCUUAUGUUACAUCAAUUUUGCGUUACACUAACUUGUAGUAUAUUUGAUGAAAUAUAUAGCCAAUUCUUAUCUGAUUUAUAUUUUCCCCUGACGGUUGAUUAUUGUCUAUCAAGUAUGAGCUUAGUUCUUCAUUUGUCAAAAUUCAAAUAUGAUGUCAAACUUUCUUGCUUUAAUCUGAACUUCCUAUUCCUGUUCACAAAGGGAGAUCAUGUUUUUUGUCGUUCAUUGGUUGGCAGAUUUUGAUUUUAUUUGAAAACAUAUAUUCUGAACUCAUUAAAUUUGCCCGACCCCUUUUAGACUUAAAUGGUCACCCACUAAUAGGAUGGCAACAGAGAAAAAACGAUUAGACAAAAAAUUAAUAAUUGAGCAACACGAUUGAAAUAACCAGACGUAUUGGCUAACACACAACCUUAUGAUAAAAUAGACAAAAACAAAGAAAAAACAUAUGGUUCAAAUAGUGUGAAAGCUUCUCAAGACAAAUGAGGUUUGAUGUUUUACCACGUUUUUGUAUUUUUUGUUACAACUGAAAUCACAUGUAGGGUAUUUAAAUGGUAAAGUGUCCGCCGCCUGUACUAAAAAAAA